GAUGAACGCUGGCGGCGUGCCUAACACAUGCAAGUCGAGCGAACAGACCAGGAGCUUGCUCCUCUGACGUUAUCGGCGGACGGGUGAGUAACACGUGGAUAACCUACCUAUAAGACUGGGAUAACUUCGGGAAACCGGAGCUAAUACCGGAUAAUAUAUUGAACCGCAUGGUUCAAUAGUGAAAGACGGUUUUGCUGUCACUUAUAGAUUGAUCCGCGUCGAAUUCGCUAGUUGGUAAGGUAGCGGCUUACCAAGGCGGCGAUGGGUAGCCGACCUGAGCGGGUGGUCGGCCACACGGGAUCUGAGACACGGCAGAGACUCCGGCGGGGGGCAGCAGCAGGGAAUCUUACGGGAGGGAGGAGAGCCGGACGGAGGAACACGGCGGGAGGGAUGAAGGUGUUCGGAUCGGAGAGCUAUGUUGUUAGGAGAGUACAAAUGUGUAAGUAACUGGGCACGUCAUGACAGUACCUAGUCAGAAAGCCACGGCUAACUACGUG
This 497-nucleotide ribosomal RNA is filed under the name uncultured bacterium. RNAcentral describes it as "partial 16S ribosomal RNA". It matches the Rfam family "Bacterial small subunit ribosomal RNA", at positions 28 to 507 of the family's 1533-position model. The record is from RNAcentral.